AGUGAACGCUGGCGGUAGGCCUAACACAUGCAAGUCGAACGGCAGCACAGUAAGAGCUUGCUCUUACGGGUGGCGAGUGGCGGACGGGUGAGGAAUACAUCGGAAUCUACUUUUUCGUGGGGGAUAACGUAGGGAAACUUACGCUAAUACCGCAUACGACCUACGGGUGAAAGCAGGGGAUCUUCGGACCUUGCGCGAUUGAAUGAGCCGAUGUCGGAUUAGCUAGUUGGCGGGGUAAAGGCCCACCAAGGCGACGAUCCGGAGCUGGUCUGAGAGGAUGAUCAGCCACAACGGAAUAUAGCCACGGUCCCGGCUCCUACGGAAGGCGACAGUGGGGAAUAUUGGACAAUGGGCGCAGGCCUGAUCCAGCAAUACCGCGUGGGUGAAGACGGCCUUCGGGUUGUAAAGCCCUUUUGUUGGGAAAGAAAAGCAGCAGGUUAAUACCCCGCUGUUCUGACGGUACCCAAAGAAUAAACACCGGCUAACUUCGUG
Molecule: ribosomal RNA, 492 nt
Filed under: uncultured bacterium
Lineage: Bacteria
Description: partial 16S ribosomal RNA
Rfam family: Bacterial small subunit ribosomal RNA
Source: RNAcentral